RNAcentral lists this long non-coding RNA (271 nucleotides) under Gossypium barbadense (sea-island cotton). Its description in RNAcentral is "long non-coding RNA (GBAR_LNC021882)". Lineage: Eukaryota; Viridiplantae; Streptophyta; Magnoliopsida; Malvales; Malvaceae. The record is from RNAcentral.
CUUAGCCUGCUAGGUUUAUAACCUGAUUCAGAUCACCGGCACUUAGUCUGCUAGGUUUAUAACCUGAUUCAGAUCACCAGCACUUAGCCUGCUAGACGUAUAGUCUGAAUAAUUUCACUGGCAAUAAAUCCGAUUGGUACUGAGCUUUAACAAAAGAAUCUCAAUUCACAGAAGUUGUAUCUCAUAUUUGUAUAUAAAAUCCACAUAAAAUCCAGCUCAAUAUUCAUAACUUAUAUCUUUAAAACACAUGGAUAUAUAUAUAAAUCCCAAU